Lolium rigidum is the source of this 2622-nucleotide long non-coding RNA. RefSeq lists it as uncharacterized. Lineage: Eukaryota; Viridiplantae; Streptophyta; Magnoliopsida; Poales; Poaceae. The transcript is spliced from 4 exons. The record is from RefSeq and is a predicted model, not a curated record.
GCGGUCGGCCGGCGGAACCGGCUCCGUCUUCAUCGGCCGGCGGAAUCGACGGCGUCUUCGUCGGCUGGCCGAAUCAGCGGAAACGCAUGUUGUAGGCGGGUGGUUUCUGGCCUUUUAGCAUCAUGCAGCGCUUCCUCAGCAAAGGCUGCCGGCGCCAAGUUUAUGCAACCGUGAAACCAUCCACGCAGCAGCUUUCGCCGGCCGUCUUCUACUGUAAGGAACAUUACCUCUUUGCCGUCAGUUCCAGAAUUAUUUUUGCAAACCCGUAUGCAGCUUUGAUGUGAAAAGGUUGAGGACUUGAGAUGCUGCACGCACAUGGAAACAGGUGCCUUUGUUGACCUUUAGAGGUUACUUUUUUUUAUUGCUCUGAGAUGUUGGUUUUAUGGUUUAAUAUCAACAGUGGCUUGUAGUUUACAGGUUUGCAAACUCGAUCUUUCUAUUGUCCUGUUAACUAGAUGGUAAUUUUAAGGAAACAAAUUCAGAGUAAUAACCAUCAGAACAUGAAAAAAUUUCAGUAAUCACAUUGCACAGGUGUUAAGAAGUUCGAAAGUAAUUGUAUUGGAGUCAGAUAAAUAAUAUUUGUUGUAGUGUUUGUUAAACUAGGUUUGAGUUCACAUGAAUCUGCCAACCGUUUGAAUAAAGCUUUUGCCGAUUUCUUUAGAUUUAAAAAUUGAGGUGAAGUGGCCUUGCAUUGAUUAAUUGACCAAAGGAUCUAAUGUCCUGGUGAAGAUUACAACUAUGCUAUAACUUGCUUGUGUCACGAAAAAAAGGGGCAAACAAAUAGUAUGUCAGAAAAAAAGUCUAAUUCCCUGUCAGCACCACUGGAGUCAACCUACAUGGUUUCUCAGAAACUUGAACUGUGACAGCACCGAAACCAACAUGACAUUGUAGAUAUCCCUGAUCAAGUGCAGGGAUGUAGGUAGACUUUUUAACAACUGAAAUACGGCUUUAGUAAAUAAAGUUAUGGAUUCUAAGUUAUUCUGCGGCAUCCGCACUGCCACUUAGUUAUCGUUGUUGAUGUAUGAUGUUUUUUGCUUAAUUAUACUGCUUAGCCUGUUGGGUGUUCAGAUUUUGUAGAAAAUGAAAAAUAAAGUAGAUGUAAAAUGCACCUGUUUUAUUAAGUAUAAAUCAACCGGUAUACAUGCUUUUUCAGUGGUAUAGAUUAGGAAUUAGGAUAUCACUGUGAAUCACUAAACAACUGAAUGGCUGAAUGAAUGUGGGCACGAGUGUGUACUGUAUACAUGGAUACUAUAGAUUCAGGUACCGGUGGGCUAGCAAAAUAGGCACUCUGCCAUAUCAGAUAUCUUCAUUACUAUGUUUAAAAAGCUAGUUUGCUAUCCAAAUUUGUAGACAUGGAGCAUAGUCGAUCUUAGUAUUAGUGAAAGUUCGUGCUACUUAGUACUUAGUUAUAGCCUGUAAGAUACAUUCAUUCAUCUAUUAGAAUAGCUAGGUUUUCAGAAGUUCAAUGAUACGAACCUAGCAUAAAAUGUUCUGUUGAUGGUUGUUCCCACAAAGAUUUGGCAGCUAAUUAAUUAUAACCAGAGUAAAAGCAUACUCAGUUUCAGGAUAAAUUAGCUGAUUUAGAAUCUGUUUUACUACAACCCAAGUCGCUCUUUUCUACAUGAUGCUACUUAACAGUGUCUCACAGCAUCGAAGUUUCAAACCAGUUUUAUAUAAACGAAUACUUAAAUCAUCCCAAGGUGAGAGGCUGCUUUUGGAUAUGUAAUUUCCAUUUUUUAUGAUGUAGCUGCGUCGAUUUGCUUCCUCUGAUUUCGGUGGUAAGCAACCUGUGAUUGGCGCUGGCUGCUUCUACAUUUCCCACCAGUACUCUUCAGUACCACCCCAUUUCUACCAAUUUGGAUGAGCCUGGCGUGCAAGGAAGGUCAAUAACAGUUUUGUAAUCUCCUGGUGGCUGCCGGCCUUGCAUUGGUUGACUGAACAAAGGAGCACUAGGCCAGUAGCUAUAAGCGGGUCAUAGUUCUGAAACUAUGGCGGCGUGUGGCUAGCUUUAGCGACAGGUAGCAAUCUGUGGCUUCGAUGGGCGGCCAGGUCAAAAGGUCAAAGUACGCCAUUUGGUAAUUUUUUGUGUGUGUUGACAUACAUGUAUCUGUUAGUCUGUUCCUUAAUUUUCUAAUUGCGUGCUGUCGAAUUACGAGAUCUGUGGGGUCUGUACUGACGAAUUACGCAGCACACAACCACUGCCAAUGGCAAGACAACUGAAGAAGUUUUCCAUGGCCAGAUCGACGUCAAAGUGACACCAUACAAUCACAUACAUCAAAGAUCAAGUGCUCACCAUUAAACGGGAAUGGCAUAUAGCUUCUGCUCUCAACUAAGCAAGCCUGGCAAUUAUGGCAAAUGGAAAGGAACUAGCAUUUCACUCAACAGAUGAUUCUGCCAUUUGGACAAUGUAAUUUGUUACAUAGAUUGUUUCCACUAUUUAUUGUAGGGCAAAUGAGUCCACGCUUGUAGUUCUUAUGGAUGCGAUUGAGCAUCAGUGUUACAAUGCCCUCCAGUCAUCAUGACACUUUCUUUAUGCCAGGAUUCCUAUACUGUGUUGGCACCUGGAAUUCUUAGGUCACAUUUUAUCCAAUUUUAAUGGGAAGAAAUGUAUUUAAUUAUUUA